RNAcentral lists this ribosomal RNA (567 nucleotides) under uncultured methanogenic archaeon. RNAcentral's name for it is "bacterial SSU rRNA". It matches the Rfam family "Archaeal small subunit ribosomal RNA", at positions 92 to 667 of the family's 1478-position model. The record is from RNAcentral. Lineage: Archaea; Methanobacteriati; Methanobacteriota.
CGUACCGUGGAUAUCUGCCCUUUGGUGGAGGAUAACCCCGGGAAACUGGGGAUAAUACUCCAUAAGUCAGGAGUACUGGAAUGUCUCCUAACUGAAAGUUGCGGCGCCAUAGGAUGAAUCUGCGGCCGAUUUAGGUAGUUGUUGGGGUAACGGCCCAACAAGCCUGUAAUCGGUACGGGUUGUGGGAGCAAGAGCCCUGAUUAUCUACCUCUUAUACACGAUUCCAGGCCCUACGGGGCGCAGCACUGCUGCGAAAACUUUACAAUGCAGGAAACUCGCUGCUAAGGGAACCCCGAGUGCCCGUAAACGCGGGCUGUCCCGGUGUUUAAAACACAUCGGAAGAAAGGGCCGGGCAAGACCGGUGCCAGCCGCCGCGGUAAUACCGGCGGCUCGAGUGGUGACCACUUUUUAUUGGGCUUAAAGCGUUCGUAGCUUGAUUUUUAAGUCUCUUGGGAAAUCUCACGGCUUACUGUGAGGCGUCUAAGAGAUACUGGAAUUCUAGGACCGGGAGAGUAAGAGGUACUUCAGGGUAGAGUGAAAUUCUGUAUUCUUGAGGACCACGAUGGC